RNAcentral lists this ribosomal RNA (89 nucleotides) under Morganella morganii. Lineage: Bacteria; Pseudomonadati; Pseudomonadota; Gammaproteobacteria; Enterobacterales; Morganellaceae. RNAcentral also lists the same sequence under 1 other name. The record is from RNAcentral.
CCUGACCCCAUGCCGAACUCAGAAGUGAAACGCCGUAGCGCCGAUGGUAGUGUGGGGUCUCCCCAUGUGAGAGUAGGGAACCGCCAGGU